This 1851-nucleotide long non-coding RNA is filed under the name Homo sapiens (human). Its description in RNAcentral is "HSALNT0038703". The record is from RNAcentral. Lineage: Eukaryota; Metazoa; Chordata; Mammalia; Primates; Hominidae.
UUUUAUUUAACAUGAUAUAGUGCGAUAGUCUCGGCACAAAGUGACCUUAACUGCUUCCAAAUUCCUUCCUUAUUUUUCCUGUAACAAAUCAUAUGGUGAAGGAAGACCUUCAUCAGGGUCACGUAACUUGGAGGAGCUUCUUGGGGGAAGUGCACAGGCAUCUCUGCGGGCUGUGGAGGAAAAGGCCCCGGAAUUGGCCCCAGUGGGGCUUUUUCCCAAGAGGAUCUGUCCCGUUUCCCUGUUCAUGUGUUGCGUCCUCAGUAGCUGGGACCCCAUUUUCUCUGUCGUAUCCCACCCCCAACACCUGACCAACUCAAAUCAGCACAUAUAUUUUAAACAGGUAGUGGAUAUCCAACACUGUGUCAGGGCAUGGAGAAAAUGGAAAAGAAACCAAAAUUGUGGUCCUAGUGCUGAGACACAGGUAAUCUCAUCAAGCAAUUUGGGCAGAGGCUGAGUUACCUGGAUAUUAUUGCUGGUAUCUGAAUUUCUUAAUAUAAGUUCCAGAAAGCCUGGUAACUUUUAGAAGAGUAUAUGGUAUAGCAAGGAAAGUGAAUCCAUUCAUUCAUGCAGAAAUAACAGACCCUUGCAUUUAUCAACUCCCAGUGUGUGCAGGCCAUGGAGAUGCAAGAGUAAGCCUGAUCUUCAACCUCAGGGAGAGCCACAUCGUUUGGGGAAGGUCAGUAUAUAAAAAAGCAAGGCCACAGUGUGUGAUCAGUGCUCCAGAGGACUGGCCAGCACACAGCAGGAUGAAAAGGAGAGCAGGGACCAGUCUCCUGGCUGUGAAGUGCUGGGAAGGUGGGAUGGAAAGGACCUUAAGGACAAGAUGGUCCUUGGUUGUGCCUCCCAGGAUGAAUGCUAGUCUGGUGGAACAUUCAGAGACCAGAGUGGGAAGUCUGAGAAAGUGGCAGCAUGGUGUGCCCAGAGAGAACAGGGUAAGGGGACAGGGGAGAGCUGGGGGAGACAGGAGGAGGUGCCAAAUUCCAUAGCUGGAGGAGAAGCUGGAGAUGUAGCCAGAGAUCAAACCAAAGAAGCCCCACUACACCAUGCCAGAGUGUGCUCGUGAUUCGGAAGGAAACAAGGACCCAUCCGAUGGUUCUGAACAGGGAGGGAUACAGCAGUCAGACUUGCAUUUUUAAAAGAUCACUCUGGCAGCGGCAUGAAGGCUGGACUCGGUGGAUGAGAGUCUGCAGGGAAGGACACCAGACGGGAGAGUGUCUCUGCGGUCAGGAUGAGAAAUGAUGAGGCCCAAAGCAGGGCAAUGGCGGUGGGAAGGGAAGGGGAGGCCGUUCUCAUGAGAUGUUCAUUCCAGCAAUUCUGAGCUGACUUCUGUUGAGGAGGUAUCAGCAAGUAGUGAAAGGCAAAGAAGGGUUUCACUUGCUCCAGCUAUGGACUAGGAAUUUCUUCUUAGUACCCCCAGUGAGCAGAAGAACCUUCUUUCACCUGCGAAGUCCCUCCUGAUGGUUGGUUCUGGCAGGCUCCAUCACUUAGGAGCUGGGAAACCUCGGGCAGGUCACUUUACCUCCAAGUGCCCCUUCCCCAUCUGUAAGAUGCAGAUAACUAGUACCUACCUCACAGGGGUUGUGAGCAGUAGUGAGUAAAUAUCUGCAAAGUGCUUUAGUGAGGCCUGACAGGGCAAGCACUUGAUAAAUGCUGGCUGUUUUAUGCCUGGCUCAGUCUCGCUUCUGAUGGCUUGUCCUGCAGAGCUUGCUGGACCUUGCUGGAAAAAUACUUGAAAUUUUGAAAUAUGGCUUUUGUCACAUAUGCAAUAUCCACAUAAUGGAAGUGCCUACCAGCCAGAAACCAGGCAACUAUCACACCUCAGUCCCCACCAGCUCACCAUCACAGGUUCCC